Molecule: long non-coding RNA, 1716 nt
Filed under: Salvia miltiorrhiza (redroot sage)
Lineage: Eukaryota; Viridiplantae; Streptophyta; Magnoliopsida; Lamiales; Lamiaceae
Description: long non-coding RNA (SMIL_LNC012869)
Source: RNAcentral
AUCACACGUUACAUAUUACAGUUAUAAAAAUUCUUUCCUAUACUCCUAUUACACACCGGCUGCAUCAUCAAAGGUGAAUGAGUAAAAGAAAGAAGAAAAUAAAUAGGAGAAAGAAAGGAAAUAGGGAGGAAAUAGGAGAAGAAACAAAAGAGAGAGGAGGCGUGCGUGUGUAAAGCAGCAACAGCUCUGCCACAGCCGCCCAACUCUACCAAUCCCCUUCUCCCUACACCCUACCCCUAUUCCUUAGCAGCUGCCAGCCGCCCCACUUCACCAAUCUGUUAGUCAAAGGUUCUACAAUUUUUUCAAGUUUGGCAGCAACUCUUUCCAUUUUUGCUGCUUGCAGCAACAUUCCCUUUUGUCAACAUUUGCUGCCAACAACUCUUCCCAUAUAAUCUCAUUAUCAGCCAGCAACUCCCUCAUAUUUUCUUUCCUCGUGCGCUGUCAUUCAAAGGGGAGGAAUUGAUUCAGCUGCUGUCAAGCUGGAAGAGUAUUUCCCCACUGUAUUCAACAACGCCAACCAAAAGAACAAACAUUGCAAGGUAUUCAUUAUUUCAAUUUAUUCAAGUUCCGGCUAUAUGCAGCAUAUGCCCAGUUUUAGAAAUGCAUAGUAUGAGAGGAGAAGCAUGACCAUAUUAUCGAGAUAGAACUCACUAGCAAACCAACAGAUUAUAUGAACUCAUUUUUAUGAGAAACAUAAGCAGAGAUAAUUACAGCAAGAUAGAGAGUAAUACUUCCCUCUUAUGCUUAGAACCGAGCCAUUUGGGGCUCGGCUUAAGACGAGUUCAGCCGAGAGUCGCGAGGGAGAGGAGAGGCUAGAUAAUUGUCGAACAGAGGGAUUUAAGAGAGUGAGAGACAGACGGAUUGAAGAGAGAGGGAGGUACCGGCGGCGGUCAGCGAAGCUACCGGCAGCGACUCGCCGGUACUCCAAUGGCUUGAUGUCGGCUUCACCGGAAAGGGAACUGCGGCGGCCGACACCUCGGCUGGAGGCGUGAUCGAGAGAGAGAGAGACCCGAGGACAGCAGCCACGGCGUUACCAAACUGGAGGGGACGAGGCCGACCGGUACCAGGACAACAGCAGCGGAUCGGCGAGCCUUUCACUUGCCGCCGGGAGGAACAGCGGCAACAGUCCAAGGGCAGCAGCGGCGCGAUGAGGGCGUCGGACACUCCCCUGCUCGCCGGCCUUCACAAGGCGGCGGCGGAACUUCAGCGUGAGGGAGAGAGACCGGAACCGAUGGCCGCUGAACAGCCGAGGAAGAGGGCCGAUCAGAUCUUGGCCGAGAAAGAGAGAGAGCGGCCGGAAGGAGAGGAGGCCGACGGGCUCCAGGCCGGAGCAACGCCGCUCCCAGACGGCGACCGGCCGCCCAAUUUCGAAAGGGUAGAAGCAGCAGCAGCAAUGAUUCCUUGAGAAUCAGGGCUCGAUGUUGGGGGAGGAAAGAGGACGGCGCCGGGGCUUUGACGCGUCGACAGAUGACGCCGGCCGAAGCAAGUGACGGAUGAACGGCCGGAGGAGGCGCAGCGACCAGAACUUGGCCGAGAGAGAGAGAGAUUGGCUUUGGGGUGAACGGCUCCAACAGAGAGAGAAAGAGGAGGACCGACAGUUUUUGAGAAGAGAGAGAGAGUGGGCUUGAUAAAUUUUAAUUUUAUUGGGCUUCUUUCACUUAUUUUUUUUAUUUGGGCUCUUUUAUUUUAAUUGGGCUUUCUUUAUUGUAAUUGGGC